CCUACGGGCGGCAGCAGUGGGGGAUAUUGCACAAUGGGCGCAAGCCUGAUGCAGCCAUGCCGCGUGUGUGAAGAAGGCCUUCGGGUUGUAAAGCACUUUCAGCGGGGAGGAAGGCGUUAAGGUUAAUAACCUUGGCGAUUGACGUUACCCGCAGAAGAAGCACCGGCUAACUCCGUGCCAGCAGCCGUGGUAAUACGGAGGGUGCAAGCGUUAAUCGGAAUUACUGGGCGUAAAGCGCACGCAGGCGGCCUGUCAAGUCGGAUGUGAAAUCCCCGGGCUCAACCUGGGAACUGCAUUCGAAACGGGCAGGCUAGAGUCGUGUAGAGGGGGGUAGAAGUCCAGGUGUAGCGGUGAAAUGCGUAGAGAUCGGGAGGAAUACCGGUGGCGAAGGCGGACCCCUGGACAAAGACUGACGCUCAGGUGCGAAAGCGUGGGGAGCAAACAGGAUGAGAUACACGGGUAGUC
This 465-nucleotide ribosomal RNA is filed under the name uncultured Klebsiella sp. Its description in RNAcentral is "bacterial SSU rRNA". It matches the Rfam family "Bacterial small subunit ribosomal RNA", at positions 338 to 795 of the family's 1533-position model. Lineage: Bacteria; Pseudomonadati; Pseudomonadota; Gammaproteobacteria; Enterobacterales; Enterobacteriaceae. The record is from RNAcentral.